This 84-nucleotide small RNA is filed under the name Salmonella enterica subsp. enterica serovar Senftenberg. Its description in RNAcentral is "partial RtT sRNA". It matches the Rfam family "RtT RNA", at positions 44 to 130 of the family's 130-position model. Rfam says of the family: This family represents a bacterial cis-regulatory element known as RtT RNA. The exact function of RtT is unknown although it is thought that it may be involved in changing the cellular response in relation to amino acid starvation. Lineage: Bacteria; Pseudomonadati; Pseudomonadota; Gammaproteobacteria; Enterobacterales; Enterobacteriaceae. RNAcentral also lists the same sequence under 2 other names. The record is from RNAcentral.
CAGAUGUUGAGCGUGAAGGAUAACGUUGCGUCAGCAACGGCCCGAAGGGCGAGGCGAAGCCGAGUCAUCCUGCACGACCCACCA